AAGAUUAAGCCAUGCAUGUCUAAGUAUAAGCAAUUUAUACAGUGAAACUGCGAAUGGCUCAUUAAAUCAGUUAUCGUUUAUUUGAUAGUACCUUUACUACUUGGAUAACCGUGGUAAUUCUAGAGCUAAUACAUGCUAAAAAUCCCGACUUCUGGAAGGGAUGUAUUUAUUAGAUAAAAAUCAAUGCUCUUCGGAGCUCUUUGAUGAUUCAUAAUAACUUUUCGAAUCGCAU
Molecule: ribosomal RNA, 232 nt
Filed under: uncultured fungus
Lineage: Eukaryota; Fungi
Description: partial 18S ribosomal RNA
Rfam family: Eukaryotic small subunit ribosomal RNA
Source: RNAcentral